RNAcentral lists this ribosomal RNA (539 nucleotides) under uncultured bacterium. RNAcentral describes it as "bacterial SSU rRNA". It matches the Rfam family "Bacterial small subunit ribosomal RNA", at positions 98 to 633 of the family's 1533-position model. The record is from RNAcentral.
GCGGACGGGUGAGUAAUGCAUAGGAAUCUACCCGGUAGUGGGGGAUAACCUGGGGAAACCCAGGCUAAUACCGCAUACGUCCUACGGGAGAAAGCAGGGGACCUUUUGGCCUUGCGCUAUUGGAUGAGCCUAUGUCGGAUUAGCUGGUUGGUGAGGUAACGGCUCACCAAGGCGACGAUCCGUAGCUGGUCUGAGAGGAUGAUCAGCCACAUCGGGACUGAGACACGGCCCGAACUCCUACGGGAGGCAGCAGUGGGGAAUAUUGGACAAUGGGCGCAAGCCUGAUCCAGCCAUGCCGCGUGUGUGAAGAAGGCUUUCGGGUUGUAAAGCACUUUCAGUGAGGAAGAACGCCUCGUGGCCAAUACCCACGAGGAAAGACAUCACUCACAGAAGAAGCACCGGCUAACUCCGUGCCAGCAGCCGCGGUAAUACGGAGGGUGCAAGCGUUAAUCGGAAUUACUGGGCGUAAAGCGCGCGUAGGCGGCCAAGUAAGCCGGUUGUGAAAGCCCCGGGCUCAACCUGGGAAUGGCAUCCGGAAC